CUAUCCAGCCAGCGUGCAUGGUUAACUAGGAGCCACAGCAUUUUAGAAUUGGGAAGUGGUGCUCAAGUGUUCCAGACAAGAGCGAGAUAAAAUCCUGGCUUUCCACUCUAACUGCGUUGGGGGCUGACUGUGCUCUGUCCCUGCUUCCCUGUCAACCAAGGAAAGUUGCAUUUAUUUAUUUGAAGAGAGAGAGCAAGCGGAAGAAGGGCCAGAAGGAGAGAGAAUCUCAAGCAGUCUCCCUGCUGAGUACAAUGCUGGGCUUGAUCUCACGACCCUGAGAUUAUGACCUGAGCUGAAAUCAAGAGUUGGACACUUAACUGACUGAGCCACCCAGGUGCCCCUUGACAGAGAGAGAUUUUAAGAAUGAACGCCAUCAGACUUUCCUUGGAACAUCACAGGUGGACACUGUCCCAUUGACCACUACUACCUUGUGAUUUCAAUGAGAAAGCCAUGACUCCAACUCAUACCAAAAUAAAGGCAAAGGAUAACACUU
This is a long non-coding RNA of Mustela lutreola (European mink), 493 nucleotides long. RefSeq lists it as uncharacterized. The record is from RefSeq and is a predicted model, not a curated record. Lineage: Eukaryota; Metazoa; Chordata; Mammalia; Carnivora; Mustelidae. The transcript is spliced from 2 exons.